This 75-nucleotide transfer RNA is filed under the name Actinoplanes friuliensis DSM 7358. RNAcentral's name for it is "tRNA-OTHER". The record is from RNAcentral. Lineage: Bacteria; Bacillati; Actinomycetota; Actinomycetes; Micromonosporales; Micromonosporaceae.
AGGUGCUGGCCGAACGGCCAUGACAAUUCCCUGACACGGAAGUGGUCACUGGUUCGAUCCUGGUACCGCCCACCA